RNAcentral lists this ribosomal RNA (232 nucleotides) under uncultured bacterium. RNAcentral describes it as "partial 16S ribosomal RNA". It matches the Rfam family "Bacterial small subunit ribosomal RNA", at positions 57 to 305 of the family's 1533-position model. The record is from RNAcentral.
GCAAGUCGAAGGUGAAGCUAGAGCUUGCUCUAGUGGAAACUGGCGGACGGGUGAGUAACGCGUAGGGAUGUGCCUAUGAGUACGGAAUAACCGUUGGAAACGACGGCUAAUACCGUAUACGCCCCAAGGGGGAAAGCUCCGGCGCUCAUAGAGCAACCUGCGUCCGAUUAGCUUGUUGGUGAGGUAAUGGCUCACCAAGGCGACGAUCCGUAACUGGUCUGAGAGGAUGAUC